RNAcentral lists this ribosomal RNA (439 nucleotides) under uncultured bacterium. RNAcentral describes it as "partial 16S ribosomal RNA". It matches the Rfam family "Bacterial small subunit ribosomal RNA", at positions 338 to 795 of the family's 1533-position model. The record is from RNAcentral.
CCUACGGGUGGCAGCAGUGGGGAAUAUUGCACAAUGGGGGAAACCCUGAUGCAGCGACGCCGCGUGAGUGAAGAAGUAUUUCGGUACGUAAAGCCCUAUCAGCAGGGAAGAUAAUGACGGUACCUGACUAAGAAGCACCGGCUAACUACGUGCCAGCAGCCGCGGUAAUACGUAGGGGGCAAGCGUUAUCCGGAUUUACUGGGGGUAAAGGGAGCGUAGACGGCAGCGCAAGUCUGGAGUGAAAUCCCAUGGCUUAACCAUGGAACUGCUUUGGAAACUGUUCAGCUAGAGUGCAGGAGAGGUGAGCGGAAUGCCGGGUGUAGCGGUGAAAUGCGUAGAUACUAGGAGGAAAACCAGUGGCGAAGGCAGCUUACUGAACUGUAACUGACGUUGAGGCUCGAAAGCGUGGGGAGCAAACAGGAUUAGAUACCCAGUAGUC